UAAAAAAAUUUUGAGUUAUGC
RNAcentral lists this non-coding RNA (21 nucleotides) under Caenorhabditis elegans. Lineage: Eukaryota; Metazoa; Nematoda; Chromadorea; Rhabditida; Rhabditidae. The record is from RNAcentral.